RNAcentral lists this ribosomal RNA (253 nucleotides) under uncultured bacterium. RNAcentral describes it as "partial 16S ribosomal RNA". It matches the Rfam family "Bacterial small subunit ribosomal RNA", at positions 524 to 776 of the family's 1533-position model. The record is from RNAcentral.
GACGAACCGUGCGAACGUUGUUCGGAAUCACUGGGCUUAAAGGGCGCGUAGGCGGGCCACCAAGUCUGGGGUGAAAUCUUUCGGCUUAACCGGAAAAUUGCCUGGGAUACUGGUGGUCUGGAGGGUGGUAGGGGCAGGUGGAACUUCCGGUGGAGCGGUGAAAUGCGUUGAUAUCGGAAGGAACGCCGGUGGCGAAAGCGACCUGCUGGACCACUACUGACGCUGAGGCGCGAAAGCCAGGGGAGCAAACGGG